RNAcentral lists this long non-coding RNA (802 nucleotides) under Bos indicus x Bos taurus (hybrid cattle). RNAcentral describes it as "lncRNA (ENSBIXG00005025005.1)". Lineage: Eukaryota; Metazoa; Chordata; Mammalia; Artiodactyla; Bovidae. The record is from RNAcentral.
AAUUUGGCUGUGUUGUCGAAUCUUGAUUGUGGCAUUUGGUAUGUUUUGUUUUGGCCCUCGAGCUUAAUUGCCCCAAGGCAUGCAGGAUCUUAGUUCCCCGACAGGGACUGAACCCGCACCCUCUGCAAUGGAAGGCGAAGUCUUAACCACUGGACCACCAGGGAAGUCCCUAGGAAUGCCUGCAACUGCUGGUGGCACAGAGCAGAUGGAUCCAGUAGGUCACAUUUCUGCAAUCUCUUUUGGACCAUGGAGUCUUCAACUUAUGCAGUAUAUUGUGAGACCAGCAUUCCAUGGAACACUUCGGUCAAGGCUACUGUGUGAAAUAAAACAGACAAAGGACUUAGAACAGGGCAUACAGCCCUGUGUAUGCCCUUGGUAAAUACCAAAUAUUGUUGUUAAUAUUAUAGAGGGGGUUGAACUUCAAAGGCACCUCCAAGUCUAAAAAUCCAUGAUUCUAGUUAUGGUGCUAUCACGCAAAAAAAUGAUUCUAGUUAUAGUGUCACCACAAAAUAAGUGGGCUUGUUGGCUUGGGAAAAAUGAAAAAAAAAACAAAAAAAAAAGAAAUCAAAUAAUUAGUAAGGCAAGUCAAAUAAUCUCCAAGACAAACUCUAGGUUACUCAUUUCAGCGUUUGGAGGAAAGGCAUUGUCUUGGGAAGGUGGCAUAAUUCGGUGAAAUAUGGGUUGGAUCCAUGUCCUACUUGGACCUGCACGAACCAGGACCAUAUGGAAACCACCUCACUGCUUGGGUCCUGGGCUUCCUAACUGUCAAAAAUAAACAAGAGAUGAAAAUAUCUCUUUGCCA